Long non-coding RNA from Oncorhynchus tshawytscha (Chinook salmon), 324 nucleotides. The record is from Ensembl. NCBI's taxonomy places the organism in Eukaryota, Metazoa, Chordata, Actinopteri, Salmoniformes, Salmonidae.
GAACUCAACCCAGGGCACUGCUGGGCUAGCAGUGUGAUGCCUACAAGUGAGCUCUGACUGACCUGUCCUCUGUCCUGGACCUGGGGAUUGUUGAAGAGACCUCCGAUGGCAUGUCUUGGGCUGUACCGAUGAGUGUCCGAACUGUGUGCCAACUGAUGGAACAGACAGUUCGGUACCUUCAACACAUCAACACCUCGCACAAAGACUAAUAUUGAUGCAGUCAAUCUCUCCUCAACCUCAACAGGUGUCGACGGCAGGGCAACGUUGGAAUGGUAACGUUUAAAGACAAAAGCAUUGGCGAGCCAGCAAGGGACGGGGACAUAG